Sus scrofa (pig) is the source of this 3294-nucleotide non-coding RNA. Lineage: Eukaryota; Metazoa; Chordata; Mammalia; Artiodactyla; Suidae. The record is from RefSeq and is a predicted model, not a curated record.
UGGAUCCCUGAUCCACUGAGCAAAGCAGGGAUCAAACCCGCAUCCUAAUGGAUACUAGUUGGAUGUGUUUCCACCGUGCUACAAUGGGAACUCCUGGCCAUUCCUUUUUUAGAGGCUUCUUAUAGGUGAGAAAAGGCUAUCAUUUCUGUCCCAAGUACACUUACCGUCUGGCUGAGACAGCAGGGUAGCCAUUGGCAUCUGGCAACAAACUUCUACCAAUCUGUUCUCCCCUUCCCCUCAUCUUUUAGUGACUGGUAUUUCAUCCAUUUGGGCUUUCCUAACAAAGAGGAACAAUUCCUGGCCCUCAUUAAAAAGCCCAGUCAGUGUGAUGUGUGCUUGUCAAGGUAAACAUUUAUCCUCAAACCUCCUCUCUGGGUCUCAGGGGGCUCUUAAUCAUCAAAGAGAUUCAGGUUGCAGAAAUAUUUGCUCUUGGUGCAUUUUCAGAAGGUGGGAUAAUUCCAUGGGCUGCAAAUGAAGAUAAGAAGUGGGUUGCAGACUGGGCAGCAGUUGCUAGUAGAUAAGAACAUGUUAUUCCAUGCCAGAGGUUAAUGGGAAUUAUCAGUGUGGUGGUGAUUUUUCCAGUUGUUUGUCCUCAUUUUGACAGAAGACAUGGCCUGAGACAAACACAGGAUCUUAUUUCCAAGAACACCUGUCGCUCAUGGAUCAAAUGAUGCAGUCAAUCAGACACAUAUAAAAGCAUCUACUGAGUAUCCAGGUCUCCUCCCUCUCCAUGGCUGAUGUCUGCAUGUGAGUCCAAAUGCAGGGAAGCCCACUCCCUGCAAUUUUAAAUGAUUUGGAUCCAGUGACUAAAUGACUAACAUUAGUUUUCAGAUAAUUUUUUUCCUUCUGCUUAUCUGAAUAGCUAAAAAUGGGUUUUAUUAUUUUAAAAAUGAGAAUAUUUAGGGGAUCAGUUUAUAACAUGACAGGUACCAUUCACCAGCCAAGAGAAAGCAAUUUACCAUAAUGAAGUUAUUUCACCUGGAAGAAAGAAGGGGCUUCUUGAAAAAAUAAAGACUUCUUGGCUCUGUUAAGAAGGCAUUGUGGAGUUGUUAUCUACUGUAAUAAUAUCAUAUCCCACUUAGUGGGUGCUUACCAUGAGCCAAACAUUGAACUAAUUUUGUAUGCAUGCUUGCUCCUAUUUAAUCCCUAUGGAAAAUUCCUGAGGCAGGUACACAUCUGCAUUUGAUGGGUAAGGAUACUGACUUAGGGUGAUGAAGUACCUUGCCUGAGGUCACUGCUAAGGAGAAACUGAACUAGGUCUUUCUGCUUCCACACUUGUGUUUUUCCUGCCUUCCCAUAAAGCAACAGAUUUUGUUCUUCAAACAGUGCCAAAAAAUAUUUUUCCAGUUUUUGCAUUUUCAGUCCUUCUCAUUUUUCCAAGACUUGCCAGAGAUCUUAAAUAUAAGGGUCCUUAACAAAAAUGGGCCCUUGCUGAAAAGGCUGUUGAGUCCAUGCAUCCCUCCUGCCUCCUAACCCAGCGCUCUUUCAGUUUCAACACUCUCUUUCUGGAGGCUGGUGACAGGAAGUCAAGCAAUGGCAAGCCAUUUUCAUAAGUCCUUUCUUCAUUUACCCCCACUUUUCCUUCCCUUCCACAGUCCCUCCUCUUUUGUCGCUCUACUCAUUUUCAGGGAGUGUGUCCCUCCUUGACAUUUUAUUGAAUAUUUAUUUGCUCUCUGUUUAUUCUGUUUCCCCAUAAUAGAACACCUGCCUUAGGAGAAGAGAGACUUUGCUUCACUCUCUGUGUCCUCUGGACCUAGAAGAGUGUCUGAGCCUAGCGAGCCCCUAAUAAAUAUCUGGGGGAUGAAUGAAUGAGGACAUAGACCUAGUUAGUUGAUCUCAUUUCCUUGGCUCACUGGUGCGUGAAACUUAGCAAAACCCCUUCUCCUUCACAUACUAUAUAUGAAGAACUUGGACACUUUUUUAAUGUACUCUAGAGCAGUUUUUUUUUUCUUUAUAAAAUGAUUUAAUACAUCAUUAAUAUAGUAAUGUUUUAUAUUCAGGACACAUCUGUCCACAAGCUCCAUCCUUUUGAAAGCAUUAGCCAAUUUGAAAUUAAAUACAUUUCAGCAAUAUUGCUCUAAUUUAUCAUGCCACAUCAUAGAACUUGAAAACAUUUGAUGUUUCUCCUCUGCCCUAUCAAUAUGAAAAAAAAAACAGAAUAAAAACAAAAAACCCAAACAAACAAAAACUGUUCUAUUUAACUGUUUCAGCUUUUUGUAAAACCUUUCAAAUAUUCAUUAAAUCUAGACAGAAUAUGUACAUGCUAUUUGAUGUUAAUAGUUCCAGAUUUUCCAACUCUGAAAAAUGUAGAGAAAACUUAAGCUUUCAUGAGGUUUUGUUGUCUUUGGGGAAAGAAAGGAAAGAGAGUACCUAUAUUCUGAGACACAUAUCUGGCUUUGGGUAUUCCCCAUACAUUGUAGAGUGUGUAACUUUUGGAAUUCAGGCUACAUUACAAACUUUCCUAGGAAUUAAUAUUUAUAAAAGUGUGAGUGUCAAAUGAUGGGAGCUGGAAACUGGAGGAAAAGCUAGGAUGAAAAUAUUUUAUGCUUCUCAUAAGUAAUCUAGGGAAUGAUCUUUCUUGUGCUUGGAUAAGGAGAAAAGCAUUCUCAUUUCAUAAUGCAACUGCAUAAAAAGUGAUCUUCCUUGCAUAUGGAAAUGACUUAAUCUGAAAGGGUAUUUUCUCAGCCAAGGUUAUCAGCUUUUCUUGCUUUUACUUCAGCACUACUAAAGGCUCCUUUUCUUUCUUUUCUCACCUCCCCACAGUGAGCUAUUGCCAUGUAAUUUCUUCUGAAAGAUCCAAAUUCACAUUGACUCCUUUUACUUUAAAGUGUUUACUUAACGGAGAAUGAUCAAUGUUGAGCCAAAUAGGGAAGAAAUCAUCUGUAUAGUUACAUUUCUUUAUAUCUCUCAGCACAUGUUCGCCCAUUUUAAAUGCUAACAUGGCAACUAUGUUGGAUAAGCAUUCUGGGGUGUCCAUGUGUUCAUUAUUCUGCAACACAAAGUGUAGAUACUCAAUCCUUGAAAAUUGCUUUCUGAGAUUGGAUCCUGUACCAAGUCUCCUGACUCAUAUUUAUCUUUAAUAAAAAGAUAUUACGGGAGGAAUAUGCUUGUUCUUGCUGGAUCAACUCUUUACUAUAAAAGUGAGUUAAGAUAUAUCGACAUUUAUUCUUUUGAGAAAAGCUGCUCUUGUAUGUGUGUGUAAUGUGUAGCUAUUUACCAACAUUUACCAGAUUACCUUUUUUAGAAAAAGUAAGGCUCCCUUAUUAAAAAAAAAAAAAAAAAAAGACUCAAGGG